AAUUGCUAGUAAUGGCAGGUCAGCAUACUGCCGUGAAUACGUUCCCGGGCCUUGUACACACCGCCCGUCACACCAUGAGAGUUGGAAAUACCCGAAGCCUGUGAGCUAACUGUAAAGAGGCAGCAGUCGAAGGUAGAGCCAAUGAUUGGGGUGAAGUCGUAACAAGGUAGC
This 171-nucleotide ribosomal RNA is filed under the name uncultured bacterium. RNAcentral describes it as "partial 16S ribosomal RNA". It matches the Rfam family "Bacterial small subunit ribosomal RNA", at positions 1330 to 1500 of the family's 1533-position model. The record is from RNAcentral.